This 440-nucleotide ribosomal RNA is filed under the name uncultured bacterium. Its description in RNAcentral is "partial 16S ribosomal RNA". It matches the Rfam family "Bacterial small subunit ribosomal RNA", at positions 338 to 795 of the family's 1533-position model. The record is from RNAcentral.
CCUACGGGAGGCAGCAGUGGGGAAUAUUGCACAAUGGGGGAAACCCUGAUGCAGCGACGCCGCGUGAGUGAAGAAGUACUUCUGUAUGUUAAGCUCUAUCAGCAGGGAAGAAAAUGACGGUACCUGAUUAAGAAGCCCCGGCUAAAUACGUGCCAGCAGCCGCGGUAAUACGUGGGGAGCAAGCGUUAUCCGGAUUUACUGGGUGUAAAGGGAGCGUUGACGGCAGCACAAGUCUGGAGUGAAAUGCCGGGGCUUAACCCCGGAACUGCUUUGGAAACUGUGCAGCUAGAGUGCAGGAGAGGUAAGUGGAAUUCCUAGUGUAGCGGUGAAAUGCGUAGAUAUUAGGAGGAACACCAGUGGCGAAGGCGGCUUACUGGACUGUAACUGACGUUGAGGCUCGAAAGCGUGGGGAGCGAACAGGAUUAGAUACCCUAGUAGUC